RNAcentral lists this ribosomal RNA (229 nucleotides) under uncultured bacterium. Its description in RNAcentral is "partial 16S ribosomal RNA". It matches the Rfam family "Bacterial small subunit ribosomal RNA", at positions 568 to 796 of the family's 1533-position model. The record is from RNAcentral.
AGUGUAGGCGGCUACUUAAGUCGGAUGUGAAAGCCCCGGGCUCAACCUGGGAAUUGCAGUCGAAACUGGGUAGCUAGAGUUUGGUAGAGGUAAGUGGAAUUCCGGGUGUAGCGGUGAAAUGCGUAGAUAUCCGGAGGAACAUCAGUGGCGAAGGCGGCUUACUGGACCAAAACUGACGCUGAGGCUCGAAAGCGUGGGGAGCAAACAGGAUUAGAUACCCUGGUAGUCC